UAGAGUAUCAUCUUGCACCAACUGAUUUCCCCCCUCUGCAACAGAAGGGACUGUUGAAGAUCUGGACAUGUAACUGUUAUUAAGAACAGGAGCAAAGGAGUUUGAAAAAAAAUUCAAUUUUUUAUGUUUGAAAAUUAUGAUGAGCCAUUUUUCAACUACAGAGUAAUGUAAGGACUACAGACAAAAACCCCAUGGAUUUUUGGAGGAGUUGCAUGAGUGCAGUGAACUGGAAGAAUUG
Long non-coding RNA from Pogoniulus pusillus (Red-fronted tinkerbird), 238 nucleotides. RefSeq lists it as uncharacterized. NCBI's taxonomy places the organism in Eukaryota, Metazoa, Chordata, Aves, Piciformes, Lybiidae. The transcript is spliced from 3 exons. The record is from RefSeq and is a predicted model, not a curated record.